AGAGUUUGAUCAUGGCUCAGAUUGAACGCUGGCGGCAUGCCUUACACAUGCAAGUCGAACGGUAACGGGCCUUCGGGUGCCGACGAGUGGCGAACGGGUGAGUAAUGCAUCGGAACGUACCUUUCAGUGGGGAUAACGUAGCGAAAGUUACGCUAAUACCGCAUAUUCUGUGAGCAGGAAAGCAGGGGAUCGCAAGACCUUGCGCUGAUUGAGCGGCCGAUGUCAGAUUAGCUAGUUGGUGAGGUAAGGCUCACCAAGGCGACGAUCUGUAGCGGGUCUGAGAGGAUGAUCCGCCACACUGGAACUGAGACACGGUCCAGACUCCUACGGGAGGCAGCAGUGGGGAAUUUUGGACAAUGGGGCAACCCUGAUCCAGCCAUGCCGCGUGAGUGAAGAAGGCCUUCGGGUUGUAAAGCUCUUUCGGCCGGGAAGAAAUCGCAUGGGUUAAUACCCUGUGCGGAUGACGGUACCGGCAUAAGAAGCACCGGCUAACUACGUG
This 499-nucleotide ribosomal RNA is filed under the name uncultured bacterium. RNAcentral's name for it is "bacterial SSU rRNA". It matches the Rfam family "Bacterial small subunit ribosomal RNA", at positions 8 to 507 of the family's 1533-position model. The record is from RNAcentral.